This 392-nucleotide long non-coding RNA is filed under the name Capsicum annuum. RNAcentral describes it as "long non-coding RNA (CANN_LNC008876)". The record is from RNAcentral. Lineage: Eukaryota; Viridiplantae; Streptophyta; Magnoliopsida; Solanales; Solanaceae.
AACGAAAUCUGGAAUAGGGUACUCGCCUAGUAGUAACCUACACUCACAGACCAAAGCCACCCACCACACCCAGUCUCUCCUGACUAACAGCUCCUACCUAUCGACACAAUCCUACAAUUACUACCCCGGCUAAACAGGGACUCUCCUAAUUACUUACUACAACUCAUGUACUCACCCUAGCCUUCUACCCUUAUCCGUGACCUUCAUACCUUCCUAUCUAGGGUUAUGUCCUCGGUAAGCUGAAGCUGCUCCAUGUUAUGUCUAAUCACUCCCCUCCAAUAUUUCUUUGGCCUCCCUCUACUUCUCCCGAAGCCAUCCAAGGCUAGCCUCUCACACCUGUGAACUGGGACAUCCGCGCCCUUCCUCAUCACAUGCCCAAACCAUCUCAGCCU